UGUGGUCGUGGACCCCGGCGGUCAGCCGUGCUCCUGCGGCGGGCGCGGCUGUGUCGAGACCCUGGCCGCCGGACCGGCCCUGGUCCGGUGGGCACGC
This 97-nucleotide transfer RNA is filed under the name Mycobacterium xenopi. RNAcentral's name for it is "tRNA-Arg(gcg)". Lineage: Bacteria; Bacillati; Actinomycetota; Actinomycetes; Mycobacteriales; Mycobacteriaceae. The record is from RNAcentral.